Long non-coding RNA from Ricinus communis (castor bean), 1338 nucleotides. RefSeq lists it as uncharacterized. The record is from RefSeq and is a predicted model, not a curated record. Lineage: Eukaryota; Viridiplantae; Streptophyta; Magnoliopsida; Malpighiales; Euphorbiaceae. The transcript has 5 exons.
AAUUGAUAGUAUUACGAGAAAGGACUGAAAACGUAAAAUGAUGAAUAUAAUCUGGCUUAUCCAACUCAAAUUUAACAUUCUGGUUUUAGGGCUCGAUGAUUUCGCAAAGCGACGCUGUUAUCAUAUAGGCUGCCAAGCUAGUGCACGGCGCAGAAAUGGCACCAAAAGAGGAGGGAAAGUAGCAGCAGCAGCACCUGCUUAGAGGAAACCAGUAUGUUCUAUCACUUUUCUCGUGUAUUUCUGCUAUUGGGAGUCGUCUAUGUUCAUUUGUAUUUGUUUGAGAAGCGCCCUGAGCAAUUUGGUAUUGGAAGGGCUCUGUCUCCUUAAAAGGAUUUGCAUAAAUUUGUGGAAUGGCCGAAGUUUGUUGAAAUUCAAAGGAAGAGAAGGAUUCUACAGCAGAGGUUGAAGAUGCCUCCGGGUCUGAACCUAUUCAGCUCAGGAAGACACUCGACAAAAAUCUUGAGCAACAAGCUUGUUCAGUUUGCUUCUCAAGUACAGGCCAUAUGACAGAGCAACAAAGAAGGCUUUUUGCAGAGAGCUGAGAUUGAGGCUGAAGGGAAAACUGUUGAGGCAGAAGCCCAUUGUUGUUGACUAUGGUUUUAAUCACAUUGCUUGUUUCAUUGAGCAGGCAAACUUCAAUGCCAAGUACGACAAGAUUAGGAAGUAUAGAGGAAGGUGGGAUGGCGGUUUCUAAGUCGGAAGCCAAAACCAAGGCUGAAGAGAGACGCCUGCACAAAGAAUAAACUGGGAUCAUUAAUGAGAGUUUUUGGUAUUUAAGCCACUAGAGUUUUUAUAUGCAAAUCAUUCUCAAAAUCCUUCUUCCUGGUGUGCAGUUCAAUCAAAAAGUCAUUCUAUCUUAAGAAGUUGUCUUCUAGGUCUUGCCACUACCCAAAAUCUUCGGUUUAAGUGAGAAUCAAAAUCACAACAGCCAGAAGAGAAUGUGAGUACACAAUAAUACAAAAUUCAGCAAGAUAUUAAGAAAUUACCUUCCUGGCACAGGAACAGAAGUAUCACCUCCUUGGAUCUUUGGAGUUCCAUCUAGUGUACAUAUUAGCUGGUAUAUCAUGGUCGCAGCAAAGUCCUAUAAAUUCAUCAAGAUAGGUUGAGGACUCAUAAUCUUGGGACGACGAUGGAGAUCAACCUGUAGACAUCUCUAUCUCAAGGCUAUUUGUAAAUGGAGAAAUCAUUUUAUGAAGUGAAACGGUCACACGAAUUGGUAAAUACGGGAAAUUGAGUCCAGCACCUGUUUAUAACAGGUGUGUAAUCUCUCAUUCUAUAUGAGUGGCACGUGCGCUACAUUUGUUCCUAGGUAUAAAUGAUAACAACUUUUAUCAUAAA